Long non-coding RNA from Drosophila grimshawi, 185 nucleotides. RefSeq lists it as uncharacterized. Lineage: Eukaryota; Metazoa; Arthropoda; Insecta; Diptera; Drosophilidae. The transcript is spliced from 3 exons. The record is from RefSeq and is a predicted model, not a curated record.
GAGGCAUUGAAAUGGAAAAUCAGAUUAAAUAUUUAAAAUGGACAAGAGCCUGCGGCUACCCAGAAUUACGAGUAUGUGCUCUAAUGUGGAUUUUUAUGGUUUAUGCUUGCGCUGGUGAAGAACAGAUGUCGGAUUAAUGUUGAGGUGAAAUCAUGAAUAAAAUGGAUGAAUGGAUGGAUAAUUAG